GGAUUAGAAACCCGGGUAGUCCACGCCCUAAACGAUGCGAACUGGACGUUGGGUGGACUUAGCCACUCAGUGUCGAAGCUAACGCGUUAAGUUCGCCGCCUGGGGAGUACGGUCGCAAGACUGAAACUCAAAGGAAUUGACGGGGGCCCGCACAAGCGGUGGAGUAUGUGGUUUAAUUCGAUGCAACGCGAAGAACCUUACCUGGCCUUGACAUGUCCGGAAUCCUGCAGAGAUGCGGGAGUGCCUUCGGGAAUCGGAACACAGGUGCUGCAUGGCUGUCGUCAGCUCGUGUCGUGAGAUGUUGGGUUAAGUCCCGCAACGAGCGCAACCCUUGUCCCUAGUUGCCAGCACGUAAUGGUGGGAACUCUAGGGAGACUGCCGGUGACAAACCGGA
Molecule: ribosomal RNA, 394 nt
Filed under: uncultured bacterium
Lineage: Bacteria
Description: bacterial SSU rRNA
Rfam family: Bacterial small subunit ribosomal RNA
Source: RNAcentral